CCUACGGGUGGCUGCAGUGGGGAAUAUUGCACAAUGGGGGAAACCCUGAUGCAGCGACGCCGCGUGGGUGAAGAAGUAAUUCGUUAUGUAAAGCUCUAUCAUCAGGGAAGAAAAUGACGGUACCUGAGUAAGAAGCCCCGGCUAACUACGUGCCAGCAGCCGCGGUAAUACGUAGGGGGCAAGCGUUAUCCGGAUUUACUGGGUGUAAAGGGAGCGUAGACGGAAGUGCAAGUCUGAGGUGAAAGGCUGGGGCUAAACCACAGGACUGCUCUGGAAACUGUACGGCUGGAGUGUGGGAGAGGUAAGUGGAAUUCUUAGUGUAGCGGUGAAAUGCGUAGAUAUUAGGAGGAACACGAGUGGCGAAGGCGACUUACUGGACUGUAACUGACGUUGAGGCUCGAAAGCGUGGGGAGCAAACAGGAUUAGAUACCCCGGUAGUC
Molecule: ribosomal RNA, 440 nt
Filed under: uncultured bacterium
Lineage: Bacteria
Description: partial 16S ribosomal RNA
Rfam family: Bacterial small subunit ribosomal RNA
Source: RNAcentral